This 406-nucleotide ribosomal RNA is filed under the name uncultured bacterium. Its description in RNAcentral is "partial 16S ribosomal RNA". It matches the Rfam family "Bacterial small subunit ribosomal RNA", at positions 30 to 526 of the family's 1533-position model. The record is from RNAcentral.
AUUGAACGCUGGCGGCAGGCUUAACACAUGCAAGUCGAGCGAGCGGCGGACGGGUGAGUAAUGUCUGGGAAACUGCCUGAUGGAGGGGGAUAACUACUGGAAACGGUAGCUAAUACCGCAUACUAUCGGAUGAACCCAUAUGGGAUUAGCUAGUAGGUGAGGUAAUGGCUCACCUAGGCGACGAUCCCUAGCUGGUCUGAGAGGAUGAUCAGCCAAACUGGGACUGAGACACGGCCCAGACUCCUACGGGAGGCAGCAGUGGGGAAUAUUGCACAAUGGGCGCAAGCCUGAUGCAGCCAUGCCGCGUGUAUGAAGAAGGCCUUCGGGUUGUAAAGUACUUUCAGCGAGGAGGCGUUACUCGCAGAAGAAGCACCGGCUAACUCCGUGCCAGCCGCCGCGGUAAUAC